RNAcentral lists this ribosomal RNA (100 nucleotides) under Pasteurella multocida. RNAcentral's name for it is "partial 16S ribosomal RNA". The record is from RNAcentral. Lineage: Bacteria; Pseudomonadati; Pseudomonadota; Gammaproteobacteria; Pasteurellales; Pasteurellaceae.
GGGGGAACCCNGACGCAGCCCUGCCGCGUGAAUGAAGAAGGCUUCGGGUUAAGUUCUUUCGGUAAUGAGGAAGGGAUGUUGUUAGAUAGAUAGCAUCAUU